AUCCGCUGAAAGCUGCAGGUUUUCUAGACAUCGUCAUGCUGUCCAAAACAUUAGUCGUUCUGGGCUGACCAGCUGGAGAACCUGAGGACUUGCCUGCACCGGAUACCUGCAAGUUUCUCUGGUGUUGCAGACAGGAGUCCAUGUGUUUCCCAAAGUCCGGUUCAGCAGACGCACAACACCCUCAGAGUCAACACAACAUGGCGUUCCUGCAAAAAACAGAAAUCAUUAAAGUAUGCUGAUUUAGUGCUUAAG
This 252-nucleotide long non-coding RNA is filed under the name Danio rerio (zebrafish). RNAcentral describes it as "lncRNA (ENSDARG00000097924.3)". The record is from RNAcentral. Lineage: Eukaryota; Metazoa; Chordata; Actinopteri; Cypriniformes; Danionidae.